RNAcentral lists this long non-coding RNA (569 nucleotides) under Penaeus japonicus. RNAcentral's name for it is "uncharacterized LOC122252636". The record is from RNAcentral. Lineage: Eukaryota; Metazoa; Arthropoda; Malacostraca; Decapoda; Penaeidae.
GGAAUGGAAAAGCCAAUUUUAGCGAAAUCACCACUGUGGCAACACAAAGAAGGCAGCCUCAGUGUAAUGUUUGUGACAAGUUAUACCAUAAUCCAGAAGAGGCUAGCAAGUGCUGGAUGAGCCAUAUGUCAGUAGUUUAUCCAGUGGCUGAAAUUGUAAGGAGCCCAGAACCAAGGCCAUCCUGGGCACCUGAUGUCAUUAUUGAAAGUCCAGAACAACCAAGCAAUAUAAGAAGCAAUGAAACACUAGAGGUAGAGCUGAUUGGUGAUCCUGAAGAACUACCUGAUGAUCCAACUGAACUUCUUGAAGAAUCUCAAGCGACAGGGUAAGUCAGAAAGAUUUGGACGACAGAAAGACUAAAAGAAUUAAUAAAGGAGAAUUACCCUCAUCUGGUGGAGUAAGCAGUCAACUGUUUGGGAAAUGAUUAAGAACACCUUGCAUGAAUUUGUCCUAACAACAGGUACACCUGUCAUGACAGCUGCUAUGCAAAUCCCUCCCAGAACACAAGUGACCACAAGAACAUGGAGACGGCUAACUGGAAGAGAACAGCUUGUCUCCAAAAUGAGACA